Molecule: ribosomal RNA, 507 nt
Filed under: uncultured bacterium
Lineage: Bacteria
Description: bacterial SSU rRNA
Rfam family: Bacterial small subunit ribosomal RNA
Source: RNAcentral
GAUCCUGGCUUAGGAUGAACGCUGGCGGCGUGCCUAACACAUGCAAGUCGAGCGGGGAAGCCGGAACAUGUAGAGAUAUAUGAGAAAGCAUCCUAGCGGCGGACGGGUGAGUAACACGUGAGGAACCUGCCUUACACAGGGGGAAUAACACCGUGAAAACGGUGCUAAUACCGCAUAACACCGCACUAUGGCAUCAUAGAGCGGUCAAAGGAGAAAUCCGGUGUAAGAUGGCCUCGCGCCCGAUUAGUUAGUUGGUGGGGUAAUGGCCUACCAAGACUGCGAUCGGUAGCCGGACUGAGAGGUCGAACGGCCACAUUGGAACUGAGAGACGGUCCAGACUCCUACGGGAGGCAGCAGUGGGGAAUAUUGGGCAAUGGGGGGAAACCCCGACCCAGCAACGCCGCGUGAAGGAAGAAGGCCUUCGGGUUGUAAACUUCUUUGAUCAGGGAAGAAACAAAUGACGGUACCUGAAAAACAAGCCACGGCUAACUACGUGCCAGCAGCCGC